Molecule: transfer RNA, 73 nt
Filed under: Salmonella enterica subsp. enterica serovar Typhimurium str. LT2
Lineage: Bacteria; Pseudomonadati; Pseudomonadota; Gammaproteobacteria; Enterobacterales; Enterobacteriaceae
Also listed under: 1 other name
Description: tRNA-Gly
Rfam family: tRNA (bases 9-73)
About the family: Transfer RNA (tRNA) molecules are approximately 80 nucleotides in length.
Source: RNAcentral
ACAAAUUUGCGGGAAUAGCUCAGUUGGUAGAGCACGACCUUGCCAAGGUCGGGGUCGCGAGUUCGAGUCUCGU